Molecule: unclassified non-coding RNA, 1279 nt
Filed under: Leishmania donovani
Lineage: Eukaryota; Euglenozoa; Kinetoplastea; Trypanosomatida; Trypanosomatidae
Description: gene:LdHU3.26.0020(CDS-product:brix_domain_contai ning-like_protein)
Source: RNAcentral
CGAACAGUACCCACUCACGCCAAAAGUCCCCCCUCGAGCUCGCUUUGGCGGUGCAAAGGAAGACAAAACAAGCCAUGUCCACCGUCGGCGGCUUUAAGCGGCGCACAGCCAAGAACGCCACGACGCGGCGCGCCGUCAAGCGGUACGAGCCAAAAGUGGUGGAGAACCCGAAGCGCGUGCUCUUCUUGAAGGGUGCAUCCUCGAACGAUGUCGUGACGGAGGCGAUGGUGGAUCUCAUGGCCAUCGCGAAGCCGUACUGUAAGAAGCUCGCGAAAAAGAACGCCUUCUUUCCGUUUGAGGGGCGCCAGCACCUGGAGUUUCUCGGCUUCAAGAAUGACUGCUCGCUCUUCUGUUUUGGCUCGAGCAACAAGAAGCGACCGAACAACCUCACGAUUGGGCGCCAGUUUGACUUCCACGUUCUGGACAUGGUGGAGCUGGGCAUUGUAGCGGCGGACCGCCUCGACAUGUCGCAGACGGUCGGCGUUGACGCCGGUUCAAUGGGCGGGAAGCCGUUCUUUGUCUUCGACGGCAGCGAGUUCGCGUCGGACCCGACGUUCAUGCGCCUAAAGAAUCUCCUGGUGGACUACUUUCGCGGCGGCAACGACGUCGAGAUCAAUCUCGACGGUUGCGAUCGCGUCCUGUUUUUCUCGUUGCGUUCGAAGAACGGCGAGGACGCGUGUGUGGCACCCUCCGCGGACUGCUACACCAACAAGCCACCUAGUCAAAAGGGCAAUGCGGUCCUAUGUAUGCGGCACUACGCCGUCAAGAAGCCGUCAGCGGCCACAGGCGUCCCGAAGAGCAUCAAGAACAUUCAGCUCUACGACGUCGGACCCAACUUCGACUUUGAAAUCCGUCGCAUCUCCUUUGCGACGCCGCAGGAGUUCAAGGUGGCCUGCCGCAUACCCCGCCAGACGCUUGCCACGCUGCGGUCGACCGCCGACAACGUGCAGUCGGACGGCCUCAACAACCUCCGCGGUCAGCUGCACGUGGGCAAACAAGACGUCCAGGAGCUUAACCUGCGCCGCUUCAAGGCACACCGCCGCGGCAUCGCGAGCGGUGCCGCCGACUGUGACGAGGCCGCCAAAGAGGCGAGCAAGCCGCGCCGUCGCAGAGCUCGCUUGGAGACGGAUGCAGGGGAAUCUCGCCCCGAGACGGACAUUUGAGCUCGAGGCGCUUGUCGGGGUGCUCUCCCAGUGUGUGUGUGUUGGUAGUUAACGGCAUCGUUUCGUCUAACACGUAAGACCCCUAAAGCGUAAUGCACGGCACCCUCUCCAGAAGG